CAACUGCGAUACCUAUCACGACAUGCAGAUUCCCGGGAGCUGACAAGUCUUUGAAUGCACAUUGCACCCCACACUUUGUGGUGGGGUAUGCAUGGCAGAGUGUCUACCUUUUUUCAAAUACUAUGUAUGAUUGGGAACAAAGCAAUGAUCCAUUGUUCUUUGUUCCUCAAGACAUGUUCUUAUCAAUAGCUUGGGAGAGUGUUGCUCCCCAUGCAAGAACUGCCUCAAAUGACCUCUGCCAUCCAAGGUCACGUGCUGAACUUAA
This 265-nucleotide unclassified non-coding RNA is filed under the name uncultured fungus. Its description in RNAcentral is "sequence contains ITS1". The stretch from base 1 to 105 matches the Rfam family "5.8S ribosomal RNA", at positions 50 to 154 of the family's 154-position model. Lineage: Eukaryota; Fungi. The record is from RNAcentral.